GACGAACGCUGGCGGCGUGCUUAACACAUGCAAGUCGAACGGACAGGCCCUGCUUUUGUGGGGUGCUCGAGUGGCGAAGGGGUGAGUAACACGUGAGUAAACUGCCCUUGAAUUUGGGAUAACUUCAGGAAAAUGGGGCUAAAACCGGGUAGGAGAUACUGCUGCAUGGGGGGGGUUGGAAAGUUUCGGCGGUUUGGGCUCGACUCGCGGCUUAUCAGCUUGUUGGUGGGGUAGGGGCUUACCAAGGCUUUGACGGGUAGCCGGCCUGGGAGGGUGACCGGCCACAUUGGGACUGAGAGACGGCCCAGACGCCUACGGGAGGCAGCAGUGGGGAAUAUUGCACAAUGGGCGGAAGUCUGAGGCAGCAACGCCGCGUGCGUGAUGACGGCCUUCGGGUUGUAAACCGCUUUCGCCGGUGAUGAAGAGGGAGUGACGGUAAUGGGUAAAGAAGCACCGGCUAACUACGUG
Molecule: ribosomal RNA, 468 nt
Filed under: uncultured bacterium
Lineage: Bacteria
Description: partial 16S ribosomal RNA
Rfam family: Bacterial small subunit ribosomal RNA
Source: RNAcentral